UACAGAGGGUGCAAGCGUUAAUCGGAAUUACUGGGCGUAAAGCGUGCGUAGACGGUAGCGUAAGUCGGGUGUGAAAGCCCCGGGCUCAACCUGGGGAAUUGCAUUCGAGACUGCUCUGCUAGGGUGCGGAAGAGGGGAGCGGAAUUUCCGGUGUAGCGGUGAAAUGCGUAGAUAUCGGAAGGAACACCAGUGGCGAAAGCGGCUCCCUGGUCCAGCACCGACGUCAGGCACGAAAGCGUGGGGAGCAAACAGG
RNAcentral lists this ribosomal RNA (253 nucleotides) under uncultured bacterium. RNAcentral describes it as "partial 16S ribosomal RNA". It matches the Rfam family "Bacterial small subunit ribosomal RNA", at positions 524 to 776 of the family's 1533-position model. The record is from RNAcentral.